CUACUCGGCAACUAAUUGUGUUGGUUCGGGAAUGUUAAGCGAACACUCUUGUAGGCAUCUGUAGAGCUGACCAUCUUGGUAGAUUGUACUGUCUGAAGCUGUCCCAUUACAGCCCACAUCCGUAAAGAGGAAUCUGCCAUGUGCGUCUACCAAUGCAAAUAGCACGGACAACAUAGAUGUACAUAUCUAUUGAAGAGGGAGAAGUUGCAAUUACCAAGUUAAAUAGCUUUGACAUCAGGUACACACCGUCGACAUCACGGGCGAACCGGAGUAGGGAAGAAGGUGCUGAAAUAGCCAAAUUUUACGAGGCACUAGCACAAAUUGUCAGUUUGAGUAAGCCUACAAACGAUGUGUUCAGCUCUUUCGCGGAGAGCAUGGCAACACAACUGCGUACCAUGCCUGAAAAAGUUGCAUACCAAACAAUGGCUGACUUGCAAAAUUUGUUGGUCCGGCGGAAAUUCAUUAACGCAAAUGAUGGUUGAGAGCAGGGUGCCAAGAUUGUUUAAAAAAGAGCGCAGUUUCUA
Molecule: long non-coding RNA, 524 nt
Organism: Rhagoletis zephyria (snowberry fruit fly)
Lineage: Eukaryota; Metazoa; Arthropoda; Insecta; Diptera; Tephritidae
Source: RefSeq, a predicted model, not a curated record